This 253-nucleotide ribosomal RNA is filed under the name uncultured bacterium. RNAcentral's name for it is "partial 16S ribosomal RNA". It matches the Rfam family "Bacterial small subunit ribosomal RNA", at positions 524 to 776 of the family's 1533-position model. The record is from RNAcentral.
UACGAGAGGCCCAAACGUUAUUCGGAAUUACUGGGCUUAAAGAGUUCGUAGGCGGCAUGACAAGUAGGGUGUGAAAGCCCUCGGCUCAACCGAGGAAUUGCGCUCUAAACUGUCGUGCUAGAGGAACCUAGAGGUGAGCAGAACUGAUGGUGGAGCGGUGAAAUGCGUAGAUAUCUGGAGGAACACCGGUGGCGAAGGCGGCAUCCUGGACCGGCAUUGACGCUGAGGCGCGAAAGCCAGGGGAGCAAACGGG